RNAcentral lists this ribosomal RNA (424 nucleotides) under Verrucomicrobiota bacterium. RNAcentral describes it as "Verrucomicrobia bacterium partial 16S ribosomal RNA". It matches the Rfam family "Bacterial small subunit ribosomal RNA", at positions 355 to 776 of the family's 1533-position model. The record is from RNAcentral. Lineage: Bacteria; Pseudomonadati; Verrucomicrobiota.
UGAGGAAUAUUGGUCAAUGGACGGAAGUCUGAACCAGCCAAGUAGCGUGCAGGAUGACGGCCCUAUGGGUUGUAAACUGCUUUUGUAUGGGGAUAAAGUUAGGGACGUGUCCCUAUUUGCAGGUACCAUACGAAUAAGGACCGGCUAAUUCCGUGCCAGCAGCCGCGGUAAUACGGAAGGUCCAGGCGUUAUCCGGAUUUAUUGGGUUUAAAGGGAGCGUAGGCUGGAGAUUAAGUGUGUUGUGAAAUGUAGACGCUCAACGUCUGAAUUGCAGCGCAUACUGGUUUCCUGGAGUACGCACAACGUUGGCGGAAUUCGUCGUGUAGCGGUGAAAUGCUUAGAUAUGACGAAGAACUCCGAUUGCGAAGGCAGCUGACGGGAGCGCAACUGACGCUUAAGCUCGAAGGUGCGGGUAUCAAACAGG